RNAcentral lists this ribosomal RNA (253 nucleotides) under uncultured bacterium. Its description in RNAcentral is "partial 16S ribosomal RNA". It matches the Rfam family "Bacterial small subunit ribosomal RNA", at positions 524 to 776 of the family's 1533-position model. The record is from RNAcentral.
UACGAAGGGGGCUAGCGUUGCUCGGAAUCACUGGGCGUAAAGCGCACGUAGGCGGCUUUGUAAGUUAGAGGUGAAAGCCCGGAGCUCAACUCCGGAAUUGCCUUUAAGACUGCAUCGCUUGAAUCCAGGAGAGGUGAGUGGAAUUCCGAGUGUAGAGGUGAAAUUCGUAGAUAUUCGGAAGAACACCAGUGGCGAAGGCGGCUCACUGGACUGGUAUUGACGCUGAGGUGCGAAAGCGUGGGGAGCAAACAGG